RNAcentral lists this long non-coding RNA (729 nucleotides) under Callithrix jacchus (white-tufted-ear marmoset). RNAcentral's name for it is "lncRNA (ENSCJAG00000072596.1)". The record is from RNAcentral. Lineage: Eukaryota; Metazoa; Chordata; Mammalia; Primates; Cebidae.
CUGUCACCCCCAAGAGCAGUGCAUGCGCUCUGGAAGCAAACGGUGUUUAUUCAGGAAGAGAGCAUCUCGGUGGGAACACCCCGGCCACGGAAAGCUCCGUGCAGAUUCAGGGAGAAUUUUAUCAGUCAGUGAAAGAGAAUCACCCACGGCUAUGAAUGCUCACGCGUGAAAACCGAGUAACUGCCUCGAUCCUCAGUUCCUGCACACAAGGCUCCCCAUCAUACGGUAAGAAAAUGAGGAUUUAAGCCGAUGACUAGCCCGAAGUAGUUAAGCCAUGUUUUCCUUCAGUAAAAUGGACCAAAACUAACAUUUAGUGAGCACUCAGUACAUGGCAAGCAGUCACUGUUACACACUUUCUCUACGGAGUCCCCCUUCACCUUUACAUGCCCCUCUGAGCUUGGCACUGUUAGGAGGACAAAAGGACAAACUAGAGGGUGGGAGAAAAUAUAUGCAAAUCACAUACUGAUGAAAGACUUGUAUCUAGAGCAUAUAACGAACUCUCAACUCAGCAGGAAGAAAACAAACCAUUUGGGGAAACUGUGGGCAAAAGAUUUGGGCAGAUAAUUCUCCAAAGAAUAUACACAGACCGAAAAAAAGCACAUGAAAAGAUGUUCAUCGUUAUUAUUUAUCAGCGGAAUACACAUUAAAACCACAGUAAGAUGCCACUUCCAACCAAAACAAUGUCUAAACUUAAAACCCGUGACCGUAUCAAGUGCUAAUGAAAAUGUG